Molecule: long non-coding RNA, 1868 nt
Organism: Acinonyx jubatus (cheetah)
Lineage: Eukaryota; Metazoa; Chordata; Mammalia; Carnivora; Felidae
Exons: 2
Source: RefSeq, a predicted model, not a curated record
ACUCUGACUCUCUCUCUCUCUCUCUUUCUCUCUCUCUAAAAUAAAUAAACAUUAAAAAAUUUUUAAGUGUUUUAAACUAAUGAAGUUUGUCAUUAAGAAAAUGAAACAAGGUAAGUAAUUGGUUAUAUGUUUUUGAGGGAUACAAUAAAUGUAAUGAUAUUUUGCCAAACAUCCAUUUAAAUAAAAUCUGUUGUUCUUCCUGAUAGUAUGUAAUAUGCAACAAGUAGCUACAUAAUUCUAAUCCUCCCUACAUAAAUUAAAAAGUCACCGCUCCUUUAUAAUAAAUAGAAAUGUAAAAAUUCUGUAUGUGACACAUGGUCAAAAACACCUUUAUGAUGAUUUAAAAUAACCACUGCUCAAAUUAGUAAGACAUUGAUUAGAAUAAUAACCGAUUUCCCAAAAUUGCAUGCAUGAAAGAGCAGUUCUUUCAUUAGAGAUGUCAAAAUUAGUCCAGAAAAUAUCAAUGAACAUUAUUAAUGUUAUGUUCAGCUUUGGCCCUAGGCAAAAUUGUCAAUUUGGUAAAGUUAUUCUUUGCCAUUUCUCAACAUCCCUUUGAAGGAUUUUUUCCUUUGCUGGCACUCAAUCAUUUAUUCAUUCAAUAAUUUUUUAUUGAGAGCCUACUAGAUGGCAGGCACAAUCCUCAGUGCUACAGGUAGAGCAGUGAAAAAGAUAGUCAACCACCCUGUGUAUAUAGAGAUUACAUUAUAGAAAUUAAGAUGGACUCAGACUAUUAAAAAAUAAGUUAACAAAAAAGAAAAUUUUGGAUUAUAGUAAUUACAAUGGCAAUUAUAUUGUAUGUAAAUAAUAAAAUAGCGUGGUAUGUUAGAGAGUAUCCAGGUCUGUCUUAAGUCAAGUGGUAAAGGAAGACCUCUCUAAUGAGCCGAUGCCUUUGAUCCAACCAUGGGAAAAUGUUGGGGUGCACCAUUAUAGACAGAAGAAUUCUGGUAAAUGCAAAAACCUCAAGGCCAUGUAAGUGAGACAGGGGGCUUACUUGGACUUUGAUGGAUAAGAAGAAGAUCUGUAUGACUGAGUAUAAUGAACAAAGAGAGAACAGUAUAAGGCAAGAGAGUGAGACAGGGGUUUCCUGCUUAUGCAGAUUCUAGAAACUUAAUAGGAACUCUUUUCAAUCUGAUAGGAACCCACUGCAUAGUUUUAGUAGCUAUCUGUCCUCUUCCUUCUCUCUUUGAUUCUUUUCCCUUGUUUUUGUUUUUGUUUUUGUUUUUAGAAUCUUUUACAAUUAUAGCUCUCAUGAUAGCUCCCUUUCCUAGGAUCUUUUAUAUUUCUUUUAAUAAAAUGUACCUUUCAGCUUCCUUCUCUUUCAGGUCAUGCCAGGUAAUUUGUAAACUAAUCUGAUAAAUCAGUAUGAAUUAGAGCAUUCAUAGUAACUUCAGGUUAAAAUGAUGCUCCUCUAAGAUAGAAAUUUUUUUUUCUUUAAAACAUCUUGUAUUAUCUAGACUUCAAGGAGUAAAGACUUUAGAAAUGAUAGCUAUUUACUAGAAAAAAACCCCACAUUUAAGCAGCUGCUUUUUUCCCCCAUGCAAAGAAAUAUCCUUGAUUAUAUGAAAUCUUCAGACCAUUAACUAUUAUUAUCAUACUUGGUUUUAUGAUCAUUAUGAUUUAUUAAUCCCCUUUUGAGUGCCAGGCACUAUAUUAACUACUUUAUAUACAUAUUUGCAUUUAAUUCUCACUAAUGAUCCUAUACAUUCCUAAUUUAUAUAUGAAGAAAGUAAAGCUCAGACUUACCUGCCUUGUUCCAUUUUGUAGACCAGAAAUGAGAACAGGUCUAAAAACAUAAAAGACAAUCAAUAACUAUUUUCUGGAUAGAUGCAUGAUUGAUUCAAAAAAUAAAAAAAAAUAAUAAAAUAAAA